Long non-coding RNA from Gallus gallus (chicken), 1589 nucleotides. RefSeq lists it as uncharacterized. The transcript is spliced from 7 exons. NCBI's taxonomy places the organism in Eukaryota, Metazoa, Chordata, Aves, Galliformes, Phasianidae. The record is from RefSeq and is a predicted model, not a curated record.
GGAGGAGCUGGGGUCCCAGAAAGGGCAGUUCAAAGUGGAAAGCUCAUUUAGCCACUCCAAAACACAGUCUGGAGAAGUCUGUAUAUCUUUCUCCCUUGACUAUGGAUAUUGCACAGGAGGAGGAAGCCAGUCUGCACCAUUUGCAUCUUCUGUUGUAACAUGGGGGAAAAACAUUUACCUGAGGUCUUCCUGUCCCAGUCCCUGAACCUCUCAUUUUGGAGGAGUACUGAAACCUGUUCAAGAUUUAUUUUGAUGAAAAAAACAAAGACUUCAGCCUGAGACCUAGAAAUUUCUUCAUGGACUAAGGUAUCCUGUCACAUAUACCAAGCUGGGAAAAUAGCUGCUCUACUUUACCAGAAUAACUUCCCCCUCACAUACCUCACACACAGUCUGGAUUUUCUAGUGUAAAUGGAGAUUGCAAGUCACCUUCAUUUAGCAAGCAAGCAUCUACUUUCUUAUCUGACCUCUUGGGAUGGCAGCAGGUUCUUGGGCUCUUGUCCUCAUGCAGCUGCAUAGAAAUAAAUACCUGUUGCCUCUGGAUAUUUACACCCUCUACAUUCCUGUAGAGAAGCCGGUCCUAAUUUCAGCAGUUCAAUUGGAGUGAAGCCGAUGCCUCUAACUAUCCCUUGCAUCUGUUGAAAAGUACUGCAAGCAAACACAUCUGGGAUAUAACCAUCAUCACACAAAUGUUGUCACCUGUCUGUAGCAAAAAGAAAGAGGCCAAAGCUUUCCACAGGCUAUCCCUGAAGUACUGCUGUACUGUGGCCACCCACAAAUGGUGAGAGGGAAAAUUCCUGCUUGAUUUGAGAGGUGGAAGGACAAGAGCAAGGUGAAGCCCAUCUCUUUCUAGCUCUGCUCUUUACUCUCUUUCAUUUUUCUCCUCUCUUCUGAAUGACACAGAGUCACCUACUUCCCCAUGCAAGGGGGGAUUGCUCACAUUUCUGCAAUCAUUCCCAGCAGUGCCAUUUACUUGAUGCAUACAUAUACAAUAUAGCUGUAAGGUUUGCAGCUUUGCUUGGCUUGCAGUCUUACUUCAACAGCAAAGAGAAAAACCUGCCACAGAUCCUAUAAUGCUGAAAUCUGCUCCUUGUUUUUUUUUUUUAUUUUUUAUAAACAAUCAUCUCAUUAUUGCAUUCUCUCACACAUGAAUGUCUGAAGCACUUAAUAAUAUGGAAUUAUCAUCAAUAUAUCUGUCCCAGGUGAAAAAAGCCUACAGCAAGUUUAUGAUGCAGUUCAAUCUAGUCAUUGAUUUCUGGACCUACUGUAGCCCUUCAGGGCAAAUCACAAAGCCAAGUUAUCUUGGAGAGAUGGCUUUUGUAUCUGGAUUUCUGAAUGAGGUGGAAAAAGUGCUUUAAGUCCUUCAUAUGAUCUGACUCAAAAAUCUGCCUUUUUCCAUUGAGGGUAAUAGUGUAUGUCACUUACAAACAGAUGAUUCUGAUACGCUGGGAACUUGGGUAUUUGAAGACCACAUAAAUAGACUAGUUAUCAGAAAUGGUCUUUGAUACAUGAAGUUGAUGAAAUAGAAUAUAAUGAAUUAGGAUGUGCUCUACCCUAUUCUCAGCUUGCCAGAAGAUGUUUCUUUGGGGUUA